UACGGAGGGUGCAAGCGUUAUCCGGAUUUACUGGGGUUAAAGGGUUUGUAGGCGGCCUUUUAAGUCAGCGGUGAAAUCUCCGGGCUCAACCCGGAAACUGCCAUUGAUACUAUUUGUCUUGAAUGUUGUUGAGGUGAGCGGAACGGGUCAUGUAGCGGUGAAAUGCAUAGAUAUGACCCGGAACACCGAUUGCGAAGGCAGCCCACUAAGCAACGAUUGACGCUGAGGCACGAAAGCGUGGGGAUCAAACAGG
RNAcentral lists this ribosomal RNA (253 nucleotides) under uncultured bacterium. RNAcentral's name for it is "partial 16S ribosomal RNA". It matches the Rfam family "Bacterial small subunit ribosomal RNA", at positions 524 to 776 of the family's 1533-position model. The record is from RNAcentral.